GAUCUUUUUUUGCCAUUCAGCUCUGUUCUGUUUGAAACCAAUCCUGCAUUAAUAUUGCUAGUAUUACAAUUUUAAUUUUCCUUAUUACCAUUACCAACUGAGGAGAUAUUUAUUCAUACAUGACUUUGCAAGUAAUUUGAUAGCAAGUAAAUAACAAGGUAAACUGAAGAUAGCACAUUGCGUCUUUCCAAUUCGAGAAAGUGAUUACGUUGAGCAGUAUUUACUAAGUUAACAAUGUGAUUAAGUAGAAAAAGAAUUCCCUCAUUAGACUUCUUUGGAUGAUCAUUACAGCACAUGAAUUUUAAUACUAGAGUACUAAUCCUCAAGCUCAAACUAUUAAACAAAUUUCAUUAGUUCCCAUCAUCCAUACCUGUUAAGUCAUUUAUCGCACUU
This 393-nucleotide unclassified non-coding RNA is filed under the name Hevea brasiliensis (rubber tree). Lineage: Eukaryota; Viridiplantae; Streptophyta; Magnoliopsida; Malpighiales; Euphorbiaceae. The record is from RNAcentral.